GUGAGGAAUAUUGUGCAAUGGAGGCAACUCUGACGCAGCCAUGCCGCGUGCAGGAAGAAGGCGCUACGCGUUGUAAACUGCUUUUAACCGGGAAGAAACCCCAGGACGUGUCCUGGGUUGACGGUACCGGAGGAAUAAGCACCGGCUAACUUCGUGCCAGCAGCCGCGGUAAUACGAAGGGUGCAAGCGUUAUCCGGAUUCAUUGGGUUUAAAGGGUGCGUAGGCGGAACGUUAAGUCAGUGGUGAAAUCCUGCAGCUUAACUGUAGACUUGCCAUUGGUACUGGCGCUCUUGAGUGCGCUUGAAGUGGGCGGAAUGUGCCGUGUAGCGGUGAAAUGCUUAGAUAUGGCACAGAACACCAAUUGCGAAGGCAGCUCACUAAGGCGAUACUGACGCUGAGGCACGAAAGCGUGGGGAUCGAACAGGAUUAGAUACCCUUGUAGUCC
Molecule: ribosomal RNA, 445 nt
Filed under: uncultured bacterium
Lineage: Bacteria
Description: partial 16S ribosomal RNA
Rfam family: Bacterial small subunit ribosomal RNA
Source: RNAcentral